RNAcentral lists this ribosomal RNA (462 nucleotides) under uncultured bacterium. RNAcentral describes it as "partial 16S ribosomal RNA". It matches the Rfam family "Bacterial small subunit ribosomal RNA", at positions 28 to 507 of the family's 1533-position model. The record is from RNAcentral.
GACGAACGCUGGCGGCGUGCUUAACACAUGCAAGUCGAACGGAAAGGCCCUUCGGGGUACUCGAGUGGCGAACGGGUGAGUAACACGUUGGUGAUCUGCCCUGCACUUUGGGAUAAGCCUGGGAAACUGGGUCUAAUACCGAAUAGGACCACGCGCUUCAUGGUGUGUGGUGGAAAGCUUUUGCGGUGUGGGAUGGGCCCGCGGCCUAUCAGCUUGUUGGUGGGGUAAUGGCCUACCAAGGCGACGACGGGUAGCCGGCCUGAGAGGGUGACCGGCCACACUGGGACUGAGGUACGGCCCAGACUCCUACGGGAGGCAGCAGUGGGGAAUAUUGCAAAAUGGGCGCAAGCAUGAUGCAGCGACGCCGCGUGAGGGAUGACGGCCUUCGGGGUGUAAACCUCUUUCAAUAGGGAAGAAGCGCAAGUGACGGUACCUAUAGAAGAAGCACCGGCCAACUACGUG